CAAAAGAGUGGGAAGAGCUUUGAGUAGAGGUGAUAAACCUACCGAGCACAGUUAUAGCUGGUUGCCUGAGAAAUGAAUAGGAGUUCAGCCCUUUAAGAUUCCCCUCCCACCCAUGCGCAUGCUAGAGUUGAUAAAGGAAACUAAAGGAGUUAAUCAAAAGGGGUACAGCCCUUUUGAUAAAAGAAACAACUUUAACAGGUGGUUCAGGAUCAUAUUACACAAGGACUUCAAAUUAAGUGGGCCUAAAAGCAGCCAUCUUAACAGAAAGCGUUAAAGCUCAAAUUAGAAAUAAUCCUCAUAUACUGAUAGUUUGUCCUCCCCCCUGCCCUAUAUCAGGCUGUCCUAUGCCCCCAUAGGAACAAUUAUGCUAAAAUGAGUAAUAAGAAGAACCCGGUUCUUCUCCUAGCACAUGUGUAAGUCGGAACGGACCCUCCACCGACUAUUAACCGCCUCCAAACCCAGAGGAAAAUAAGAAACAUAAACAAGAAAAACACUUAAAUUUUGAUCGUUAACCCUACACAGGUGUGCUUAAAGGAAAGACUAAAAGAAAGGGAAGGAACUCGGCAAACACAAGCCUCGCCUGUUUACCAAAAACAUCGCCUCUUGACUAUAAAAAUAUAAGAGGUCCCGCCUGCCCUGUGACUAUAAGUUUAACGGCCGCGGUAUUUUAACCGUGCGAAGGUAGCGUAAUCACUUGUCUUUUAAAUGAAGACCUGUAUGAAUGGCAUCACGAGGGCUUAGCUGUCUCCCCCUUCCAGUCAAUGAAAUUGACCUCCCCGUGCAGAGGCGGGGAUAACUACAUAAGACGAGAAGACCCUGUGGAGCUUUAGACCUAAAGUAAUUCACGUUUAAUAUACUGCACAAACCAGUAAAAACUUAGUGACAUUUAUUGAGGUGUCUUUGGUUGGGGCGACCGCGGGGAAAAAUUUAACCCCCAUGUGGACCGGGGAUACUAUCCCUAAUACUCAGAGCCUUCUACAACAAGUAACAGAAAUUCUGACUUUUCUGAUCCGGUAUUUAACCGAUCAACGAACCGAGUUACCCCAGGGAUAACAGCGCAAUCCCCUCCCAGAGCCCAUAUCGACGAGGGGGUUU
This 1095-nucleotide ribosomal RNA is filed under the name Enchelyopus cimbrius (fourbeard rockling). RNAcentral describes it as "partial 16S ribosomal RNA". It matches the Rfam family "Bacterial large subunit ribosomal RNA", at positions 792 to 2519 of the family's 2925-position model. The record is from RNAcentral. Lineage: Eukaryota; Metazoa; Chordata; Actinopteri; Gadiformes; Gaidropsaridae.